GUGGGCAAGAGGUGGAUUGAGCAGGAUCUCAGGUUUAUGUCGAGGAAAGGAAGAAAGAAACAGAAGUCAGGCAGAGGUGUGUCUGUGCAAACUGGAGGACUCCUUCCAACUUCCUGGAACAAAGAGACAUUGCCAGCAGCAGGCUGGCAGGGAGUGGUUGAGGUCUGGGGGCCAGGCCAUAUGGCUGGAGAGGAAUUUCCGGGAACAUGGCAUCGGGAGGAUGCUAGAUAUCCGGGGACUCCCUCCUGGCCUUCCUGUGUCACUUCACAAUGUGACAGUCCCCAGGCAUGCCCACAGGCCAGGCCCAGUCACAGCUGGGCUUCCACAGGUCAGAGUACGGGACAGGACAUGGUCAGGGAGAGGAUCCUGUGAGUUGGUGACAUAUAUGGGGCAGAGAUGGUAGUGUUCAGCUGCUUCAGCAGUGUCCCCAACCAUCCCAAUAAGUUGGAGGCCUGUGGGCCAGAGGACUCCAUGACAGUUGCCAUAGAGUCCCACCUGCACCAGGUCAGAGCCCACCCGGCAGGAUUCAGAGUGGUCAGCCCAGUUUAAGGGUGGGAGUCUGGAGUCAGAGAGCCAAGCCCCUUCCACGUCUACAGGGUCACCGUCAUCCUCACCACAGCCAGGGGUGAUUCUCACCUCUGCUUGCUUAUGUGGGGUGUGGCCGAUUCCUCCCUUUAGUCAUUCAUUCAUUUAGCAAAUAUUUAUUGGGCAUCGGUGAUGUGUCAGGCACAGUCCUUGGCACACAGAAUACAGCAGUGAAUCAAACAGGCACAAAUUCCUCCCCUCCUGGAGCUCAGUGUCAGGAAAGGGGGUGAUAAAUGACAAUCAAAUCGGCAUGGAGAUUGAGCACCUCUGUACUCAGCCCUCUGUCUCUGUCCUCCUGAGGACAUGACAAGCCUGGUUCCCUAGAGCUCACUUGGACCCUCGAUAUGUUCAUAAUUUCCCUGCUGCUUCUGCCAUUGUUAGACAUCUGCCAGUAAGCCUGCUGAGAGAAGCCUCAGCCCACUCAUACCUAGAGACGCUGCUGGGGACGGUCAGCACACCCAAUAACUUUGGGAGGUGUGUCUGUUUCGGUGUGUGAGAAAGUAGCUGCCCCACAUUCUGGUCAGUUCUUUCCAGUAGCCAUGGGGCUCGCUACAAGAAGCAAAACUCCCAUGCAAAGAGAACACAGGUCACUUUUCAAAACACUUGCAUCAUUACCCUAAAAAUAGGCUGUUAAGCGUUUUGACAAUUGCGCUAUCCUACACUCUGAGGGAGUUGGCAAUGCAUGCGGUAUAGUGGAGUGGGAAGAGUUGAGACUGAAAGUUAAGAGAAGGGUUUUCAAGUCCCGGCUCAUCUCACCCCAGUGACCUUGACAGUGUGCUCACUCUCAGAGCCAUGGAUUGCCUGGGACAAAGUGCAGAUUAGGGCCCACGGUCCUUUACAGGUAUAACAUACUAUCGUUCUUUAAUUUUAUUAUAUAUACAUACUAUUUUUCUGUUUUUUUGCUUUAAGAACUAACCCCGAUCAAGAGUAUUUUCUUUAGCUAGCUUAAAAAGAAAACAUAUGUUUUAUGUAAAAACACAUACAUGGCCAAAUGCAAUACUGAAGAGACAAUCAUCCUGUAUCUUUUAUGGUUUUUCCUGCUUCUGAGUGUCGUUCUAUAAUGCCUGUUGGCUUAUUCCAUUGCAUUUCUGCUUUAGGAUAUGGUUUGGUUGCUUUGGGUUGUCAUGGGAAAGAGACAUUCUCCUUGCAGCUACCUCCAUGUAAGUGAAUUCCUGGAUAAAGCAAGAUUUCCUUUCAAUAAACGCUGUCACCCAAUGG
Molecule: long non-coding RNA, 1803 nt
Organism: Pongo abelii (Sumatran orangutan)
Lineage: Eukaryota; Metazoa; Chordata; Mammalia; Primates; Hominidae
Source: Ensembl